AUUCCUUGUCGGGUAAGUUCCGACCUGCACGAAUGGCGUAAUGAUGGCCAGGCUGUCUCCACCCGAGACUCAGUGAAAUUGAACUCGCUGUGAAGAUGCAGUGUACCCGCGGCAAGACGGAAAGACCCCGUGAACCUUUACUAUAGCUUGACACUGAACAUUGAGCCUUGAUGUGUAGGAUAGGUGGGAGGCUUUGAAGCGUGGACGCCAGUCUGCGUGGAGCCAACCUUGAAAUACCACCCUUUAAUGUUUGAUGUUCUAACGUUGGCCCCUGACCGGGGUUGCGGACAGUGUCUGGUGGGUAGUUUGACUGGG
Molecule: ribosomal RNA, 315 nt
Filed under: Pseudomonas aeruginosa
Lineage: Bacteria; Pseudomonadati; Pseudomonadota; Gammaproteobacteria; Pseudomonadales; Pseudomonadaceae
Description: partial 23S ribosomal RNA
Rfam family: Bacterial large subunit ribosomal RNA
Source: RNAcentral